Pseudophryne corroboree (corroboree frog) is the source of this 455-nucleotide long non-coding RNA. RefSeq lists it as uncharacterized. Lineage: Eukaryota; Metazoa; Chordata; Amphibia; Anura; Myobatrachidae. The record is from RefSeq and is a predicted model, not a curated record. The transcript has 4 exons.
UGUGGAGCAGAUGUAUUAAGCCUGGAGAAGAGAUAAUGCAGUGAUGAAGAAGUGAUAAGUGGAAGGUGAUAAAGCACCAGCCAAUCAGCUUCAAAUUGUCAUUUUUCAAACCUAGAGCUUUUUCAUGGAGAAUGAACAAUACAUUACAACAUCGAUGCCAAAAGAUAAUCACAAUGAAGCUGAAGCACAAUAAGAAAUCAGCAUUCUCUCAAGUCAUGGACAGUCAAGUAAACUGGACAUUGAGGAACCUCAACAAAGGGAGAGGCUUUACGUACAGUAAAUAGAGUUCACAUAAUUGCAAGCAGUGAUACACAGAGCACUUGGAGACAGACAGCAAAAAUAGAAUACUUCACUAUCACAGAAAAAAACAGCUAUGAGAAACUGUAAAAGGAAUUGUGUGAGAAGAACUCACUCCUAAGGAAGAAUUAUAAAAAUGAACAUACAGUAUGCAAAAA